AAAUUUUCUUGGUUCUUAAUACUGGAUAUACAAUCCUCGGGGGAAGAGAAGCAGAUGCAUACAAUGCGAUUA
This 72-nucleotide transfer RNA is filed under the name Synechococcus phage S-PM2. RNAcentral describes it as "tRNA-Trp". The record is from RNAcentral. Lineage: Duplodnaviria; Heunggongvirae; Uroviricota; Caudoviricetes; Pantevenvirales; Kyanoviridae.